RNAcentral lists this ribosomal RNA (69 nucleotides) under Streptococcus agalactiae. Lineage: Bacteria; Bacillati; Bacillota; Bacilli; Lactobacillales; Streptococcaceae. The record is from RNAcentral.
UCUGGUGGCGAUGGCGAGAAGGUCACACCCGUUCCCAUACCGAACACGGAAGUUAAGCUUCUCAGCGCC